CAAAACGACUCUCGGCAACGGAUAUCUCGGCUCUCGCAUCGAUGAAGAACGUAGCGAAAUGCGAUACUUGGUGUGAAUUGCARAAUCCCGUGAACCAUCGAGUCUUUGAACGCAAGUUGCGCCCGAAGCCAUUAGGCCGAGGGCACGCCUGCCUGGGCGUCGCA
This 164-nucleotide ribosomal RNA is filed under the name Lamprolobium fruticosum. Its description in RNAcentral is "5.8S ribosomal RNA". It matches the Rfam family "5.8S ribosomal RNA". From Rfam's summary of the family: 5.8S ribosomal RNA (5.8S rRNA) is a component of the large subunit of the eukaryotic ribosome. It is transcribed by RNA polymerase I as part of the 45S precursor that also contains 18S and 28S rRNA. The record is from RNAcentral. Lineage: Eukaryota; Viridiplantae; Streptophyta; Magnoliopsida; Fabales; Fabaceae.